GCCGCGGGAUUCGAAUCGCAUGGCCUUGCGCCGGCGAUGGUUCAUUCAAAUUUCUUCCCUAUCAACUUUCGAUGUUUGGGUAUUGGCCAAACAUGGUUGCAACGGGUAACGGAGGGUUAGGGCUCGACCCCGGAGAAGGAGCCUGAGAAGCGGCUACUACAUCCAAGGAAGGCAGCAGGCGCGCAAAUUACCCAAUCCCGAUUCGGGGAGGUAGUGACAAUAAAUACUGAUACAGGGCUCUUUUGGGUCUUGUAAUCGGAAUGAGUACAAUUUAAAUCCCUUAACGAGGAACAAUUGGAGGGCAAGUCUGGUGCCAGCAGCCGCGGUAAUUCCAGCUCCAAUAUCGUAUAUUAAAGUUGUUGUGGUUAAAAAGCUCGUAGUUGAACCUUGGGCCUGGCUGGCCGGUCCGCCUCACCGCGUGUACUGGUCCGGCCGG
This 436-nucleotide ribosomal RNA is filed under the name uncultured eukaryote. Its description in RNAcentral is "SSU rRNA". It matches the Rfam family "Eukaryotic small subunit ribosomal RNA", at positions 254 to 689 of the family's 1831-position model. The record is from RNAcentral.